AUUGAACGCUAGCGGCAUGCUUAACACAUGCAAGUCGAACGGCAGCGGGGGAAAGCUUGCUUUCCUGCCGGCGAGUGGCGGACGGGUGAGUAACGCGUAGGAAUCUACCCAGUAGUGGGGGACAACCCGGGGAAACUCGGGCUAAUACCGCAUACGCCCUUACGGGGAAAGCGGGGGACCGAAAGGCCUCGCGCUAUUGGAUGAGCCUGCGUCAGAUUAGCUAGUUGGUAGGGUAAUGGCCUACCAAGGCGACGAUCUGUAGCUGGUCUGAGAGGACGAUCAGCCACACUGGGACUGAGACACGGCCCAGACUCCUACGGGAGGCAGCAGUGGGGAAUAUUGGACAAUGGGCGAAAGCCUGAUCCAGCAAUGCCGCGUGUGUGAAGAAGGCCUUCGGGUUGUAAAGCACUUUCAGUGGGAAAGAAAAAACUAAAGCUAAUACCUUUAGUCUUGACGUUACCCACAGAAGAAGCACCGGCUAACUCUGUGCCAGCAGCCGCCGUAAAAC
Molecule: ribosomal RNA, 508 nt
Filed under: uncultured bacterium
Lineage: Bacteria
Description: bacterial SSU rRNA
Rfam family: Bacterial small subunit ribosomal RNA
Source: RNAcentral